RNAcentral lists this ribosomal RNA (492 nucleotides) under uncultured bacterium. RNAcentral's name for it is "partial 16S ribosomal RNA". It matches the Rfam family "Bacterial small subunit ribosomal RNA", at positions 29 to 507 of the family's 1533-position model. The record is from RNAcentral.
AGUGGACGCUGGCGGUAGGCCUAACACAUGCAAGUCGAACGGCAGCACAGUAAGAGCUUGCUCUUACGGGUGGCGAGUGGCGGACGGGUGAGGAAUACAUCGGAAUCUACUUUUUCGUGGGGGAUAACGUAGGGAAACUUACGCUAAUACCGCAUACGACCUACGGGUGAAAGCAGGGGAUCUUCGGACCUUGCGCGAUUGAAUGAGCCGAUGUCGGAUUAGCUAGUUGGCGGGGUAAAGGCCCACCAAGGCGACGAUCCGUAGCUGGUCUGAGAGGAUGAUCAGCCACACUGGAACUGAGACACGGUCCAGACUCCUACGGGAGGCAGCAGUGGGGAAUAUUGGACAAUGGGCGCAGGCCUGAUCCAGCCAUACCGCGUGGGUGAAGAAGGCCUUCGGGUUGUAAAGCCCUUUUGUUGGGAAAGAAAAGCAGCAGGUUAAUACCCCGCUGUUCUGACGGUACCCAAAGAAUAAGCACCGGCUAACUUCGUG